UAGCCUUUUACUAUGAUGCAAUGAGCACAAUAUACCGUUCAUUUAUCCCUAAGACCCUAACUUUUAUAUGGUAAUGGCACUCAGAACCAAUUACUAACAAAAACAUUCACACAAAAGAACUAAUCAAAUCUAUUCAAGACAUCUAUAACAUCAAGAAAAUAUCAUCAGUACCACAAUUUCAAUCAGGACUCCAAACUUCUUAAAUUCUGUUUUCCAUGGCAGUAGACAGAUGACGGCCAACAAGGAUGAAGCAGAGGAAAUACGAUUCCUAAGCAAACAUGUGCCAUCUCAAACUUCAACUCGAGGGGAGGAUCAAUGAGCCAACAUUGAUCAUUUAUAGAGCGAAAUGGAUCAAAAACAACAAUGGUUUCUCCAUUAUUACCAUUAAUUAUCCAAUGCAAAGCAUUAUUCAAAGUAACAGCGCUUGUUCUAAACUGCCAAAAUCGUUGUAUGCUUUGUGGGCACGACAACAAGGACUCAUUCCACUCCCCUGUAUCGGAUGAAAAUGUCUCGACGAUAAGAUCAUUACUACAGGUGCCAACCUUCAGGAUGCGAACAACCUUGUACUGGAAUAAGGGAAGCAGGUGGUUCUCCCCGUCAUAAGUUACCAAUCCAAUGGCCAUAUCAUCCUCCACAUGGCGGCCUAGGAUUGGUGGGAGAGCGCACCAUUGCCUUGUAAGAAGAUUACAAACAUAGUACAUGCUUUGCUGGGAGGAGUACAACUUGUUGUCGUGACACACAACGAGGUCUCCAUGUGAUGCAACUAUACGAAUAGGCCAUGGAUCCGGGUGCUGGAAACAAGGAAGAAAGUCUAGUAAGAGAUCACGGGAUUGGAGAAUCGGAUGCUCCGAUACUAGAUGGAUCUUUCUAGAAGCUGUCUCGGUGAUAUGGUGAUGCCAGUAAUAAAACUGGUGCACUAAUGUGAAGGGCAACGAGUGAUCAAUGCUUCCGCGGUGGUGAUGGAUGAAGCAACGAACAAAGAAAGGGUCGGAGAUGAGAGAAAGCCAACGCUUACACACAGAUUCGGAGCGAAGAACAACUUGACAGGGCAGUCUUUUAAGGAUUUCAAUAAGUAAGUUGUCAGGGAGAUUGUUAAUAUGCAUUGUGUGUUAAUGGUUAUGCUUCAUUGCAACGUAGAAAAAAUGUGUUCCGCUGAAAAAGGAUUCAUCUAAAAUUAGAUUAGCCAAAGCUAGAUGUUUGACAUAUUCCUAAUUAGAUGCAAUUUGCAUACGUGCUGUCAGAUUGAUGGCAUAUUCUUAUACGUGUUUCCCUUAAUCCUGAUUACAAGCUACAACAACUUAUUAUAGUUUCA
Long non-coding RNA from Beta vulgaris subsp. vulgaris (sugar beet), 1312 nucleotides. RefSeq lists it as uncharacterized. Lineage: Eukaryota; Viridiplantae; Streptophyta; Magnoliopsida; Caryophyllales; Amaranthaceae. The transcript is spliced from 2 exons. The record is from RefSeq and is a predicted model, not a curated record.